This 20-nucleotide small nuclear RNA is filed under the name Arabidopsis thaliana (thale cress). RNAcentral describes it as "snRNA_05696". Lineage: Eukaryota; Viridiplantae; Streptophyta; Magnoliopsida; Brassicales; Brassicaceae. The record is from RNAcentral.
UGGUACAUGAAGGUCUUUGC